This 460-nucleotide ribosomal RNA is filed under the name uncultured Sphingobacteriales bacterium. RNAcentral's name for it is "partial 16S ribosomal RNA". Lineage: Bacteria; Pseudomonadati; Bacteroidota; Sphingobacteriia; Sphingobacteriales. The record is from RNAcentral.
GACUACUCGGGUAUCUAAUCCUGUUCGCUACCCACGCUUUCGUGCCUCAGCGUCAAUUCAGGUCCAGUCAGCUGCCUUCGCAAUCGAUGUUCCAUGGCAUAUCUAAGCAUUUCACCGCUACAUGCCACAUUCCGCCAACCUCAUCCUCAUUCAAGCUAUACAGUAUCAAUGGCAAUCCCAUGGUUAAGCCACGGCCUUUCACCACUGACUUAUUUAGCCGCCUACGCACCCUUUAAACCCAGUGAUUCCGGAUAACGCUUGCACCCUCCGUAUUACCGCGGCUGCUGGCACGGAGUUAGCCGGUGCUUAUUCUAAUGGUACCGUCAGUCGAGGAUAAAUCCCCUUUUUUCGUCCCAUUCAAAAGAAGUUUACAAGGCAGAGCCCCUUCAUCCUUCACGCGGGAUGGCUGGUUCAGAGUUUCCUCCAUUGACCAAUAUUCCUUACUGCAGCCCCCCGUAGG